Molecule: non-coding RNA, 664 nt
Organism: Equus caballus (horse)
Lineage: Eukaryota; Metazoa; Chordata; Mammalia; Perissodactyla; Equidae
Source: RefSeq, a predicted model, not a curated record
CAGAGCCGCAGGGUUGCCCAACCUCUGCAGAGGCUCUGGCAGUCUGUGUGAGGCACAGGGGAUGGGACAGCAUGCGUGCGUGUUUGGGACCACAAAGUCCGCCCUGGAGCCCAGGUGUUCACCUUGGAGAAGUAAAGGCACAUGUCUACACAAAGGACUGUACCCAGAUGAUUGUAGGAAACUUAUUCGUGAGAGCCUCCAAUUGGAAACACCCCACAAACGUCCAACAACGGACUCAGCCUGAAGGGACUUUAGAGAGGAUGGCGCCCAACUCCCUCGCCUUACAGGAAAAGCCAGGGCAGCCGAGGGCUUUGCCGGAGUCGCUCCGUUCUUUGGAGGUAGAUGCAGGGCUUGGACCCCCAGCCUGCACCUUCCAUCUCCACGCCACGGUCCAUCCACACACGUGCCUUACAUCAUCAGCUUCCAGAAGACAAAUUGAAACGAAUUUCAACAAACAAAUGGAAACAAAGUGAAGCGAAUGGGGAAGUGGAUACCAGACUUGCCCACCGCAGAAGUUCAGGGCCCAGAGGCGCCAGGGCAUAGACGGCAGAGCGAGGCCAGGGCAGACCAGGCUGCUCCCAGCAGAAAACAGUGUGGUGUGUGGGGAGACGGGUGAGUGGGGCAGGAUUUGGGGGGAUUUUAAGAAAGUAGUAUUAACAUAUGG